GGCUUCGUGUAAAUAAUAAGAUACGAGGUCGGACCUGCCCAGUGAGUUUUAAACGGCCGCGGUACUCUGACCGUGCAAAGGUAGCAUAAUCAUUUGCCUUAUAAUUGAAGGCUGGAAUGAAUGGUUUGACAAGAAUACUCCUGUCUCUUUUAGAUUAUUUAGAACUUUAUUUCUGGAUGAAAAAGUCUAGAUAUGAUUAAUAGACAAGAAGACCCUAUCGAGCUUUAGAGAAAUUAGUAAACCCAAUAUAAAUCAAUGUAAGUAAAAGAAAGGUUACUAAGCACUUUGGUUGGGGCAACCGAGGAGCAGAAAAAGCCUCCUUUAAUUCUAUAAGUCUUACUUGUGCUGAUCCAAUAAUUUUGAUCAAAGGAAUUAGUUACCGUAGGGAUAACAGCAUAAUCUUUUUUAAGAGCCCAUAUCGAAAAAAAGGUUUGUGACCUCGAUGUUGGACCAGAAUAUCCUAAAGAUGCAGAAGUCUUUAAGGGUUGGUCUGUUCGACCAUUAAAAUUCU
RNAcentral lists this ribosomal RNA (511 nucleotides) under Conus sponsalis. RNAcentral describes it as "partial 16S ribosomal RNA". It matches the Rfam family "Bacterial large subunit ribosomal RNA", at positions 1817 to 2597 of the family's 2925-position model. The record is from RNAcentral. Lineage: Eukaryota; Metazoa; Mollusca; Gastropoda; Neogastropoda; Conidae.